UCUGAUUUUAAACAGACAACUCCAGUUUAACCUUCUUGCUGGAAGAUAGAUGGAGAUCCAACAUCAUAAGUUCAGGAAGGAGUAUUCAUUGGUUAUAAGAGCUGAUAAGAUAGAAGAAAUGAUAAAAGAUCUCCAGGGGACAUCAACGGAUUGGCCUGCUCUUUGAAAUUCUCUCCUGUGAAUGAUCUCGAGACUCAUCCAAAGCUGAGAUGCUUGUGGAUAUGAAAAAUUUUAAUUAUGCUUGAGCAAACUGUCAAAAUGGAAUUGCUGUUGGGAGGAAAUGACUUCUGUUAGAAAUACAGGUGCCACACAGAGACUAUUCUCUAGCGCUGCUGAUCAUCCAGUCUUGCCAAACAGAACCAGGAACCCAGGAUCAGGAACAUUUGUGAAUCAGACAUCGUCAUCUGUCCCACUUGUUGCCUGUCUGUCUCUCAUCAGUGACCCCAGACAACAAACAUUGUGUCUAAGGCCUGGGCUGGUGCGUGAGG
Long non-coding RNA from Talpa occidentalis (Iberian mole), 488 nucleotides. RefSeq lists it as uncharacterized. NCBI's taxonomy places the organism in Eukaryota, Metazoa, Chordata, Mammalia, Eulipotyphla, Talpidae. The transcript is spliced from 3 exons. The record is from RefSeq and is a predicted model, not a curated record.